RNAcentral lists this ribosomal RNA (766 nucleotides) under Staphylococcus epidermidis. Its description in RNAcentral is "bacterial SSU rRNA". It matches the Rfam family "Bacterial small subunit ribosomal RNA", at positions 28 to 776 of the family's 1533-position model. Lineage: Bacteria; Bacillati; Bacillota; Bacilli; Caryophanales; Staphylococcaceae. The record is from RNAcentral.
GAUGAACGCUGGCGGCGUGCCUAAUACAUGCAAGUCGAGCGAACAGACGAGGAGCUUGCUCCUCUGACGUUAGCGGCGGACGGGUGAGUAACACGUGGAUAACCUACCUAUAAGACUGGGAUAACUUCGGGAAACCGGAGCUAAUACCGGAUAAUAUAUUGAACCGCAUGGUUCAAUAGUGAAAGACGGUUUUGCUGUCACUUAUAGAUGGAUCCGCGCCGCAUUAGCUAGUUGGUAAGGUAACGGCUUACCAAGGCAACGAUGCGUAGCCGACCUGAGAGGGUGAUCGGCCACACUGGAACUGAGACACGGUCCAGACUCCUACGGGAGGCAGCAGUAGGGAAUCUUCCGCAAUGGGCGAAAGCCUGACGGAGCAACGCCGCGUGAGUGAUGAAGGUCUUCGGAUCGUAAAACUCUGUUAUUAGGGAAGAACAAAUGUGUAAGUAACUAUGCACGUCUUGACUGUACCUAAUCAGAAAGCCACGGCUAACUACGUGCCAGCAGCCGCGGUAAUACGUAGGUGGCAAGCGUUAUCCGGAAUUAUUGGGCGUAAAGCGCGCGUAGGCGGUUUUUUAAGUCUGAUGUGAAAGCCCACGGCUCAACCGUGGAGGGUCAUUGGAAACUGGAAAACUUGAGUGCAGAAGAGGAAAGUGGAAUUCCAUGUGUAGCGGUGAAAUGCGCAGAGAUAUGGAGGAACACCAGUGGCGAAGGCGACUUUCUGGUCUGUAACUGACGCUGAUGUGCGAAAGCGUGGGGAUCAAACAGG